Molecule: ribosomal RNA, 253 nt
Filed under: uncultured bacterium
Lineage: Bacteria
Description: partial 16S ribosomal RNA
Rfam family: Bacterial small subunit ribosomal RNA
Source: RNAcentral
UACGUAGGGGGCAAGCGUUAUCCAGAUUUAUUGGGCGUAAAGGGCGCGUAGGCGGCUUGAUGUGUCAAAGGUGAAAUCCCUCGGCUCAACUGAGGAACUGCCUUUGAAACUGUUUGGCUUGAGGCCGGGAGAGGGUAGCGGAAUUCCCAGUGUAGCGGUGAAAUGCGUAGAUACUGGGAGGAACACCGGUGGCGAAGGCGGCUACCUGGACCGGUUCUGACGCUGAUGCGCGGAAGCGUGGGUAGCAAACAGG